RNAcentral lists this ribosomal RNA (587 nucleotides) under uncultured bacterium. RNAcentral's name for it is "bacterial SSU rRNA". It matches the Rfam family "Bacterial small subunit ribosomal RNA", at positions 338 to 916 of the family's 1533-position model. The record is from RNAcentral.
CCUACGGGAGGCAGCAGUGGGGAAUUUUGGACAAUGGGCGAAAGCCUGAUCCAGCAAUGCCGCGUGAGUGAAGAAGGCCUUCGGGUUGUAAAGCUCUUUUGUCAGGGAAGAAACGGUGUGGGCUAAUAUCCUGCACUAAUGACGGUACCUGAAGAAUAAGCACCGGCUAACUACGUGCCAGCAGCCGCGGUAAUACGUAGGGUGCAAGCGUUAAUCGGAAUUACUGGGCGUAAAGCGUGCGCAGGCGGUUUUGUAAGUCUGUCGUGAAAUCCCCGGGCUCAACCUGGGAAUUGCGAUGGAGACUGCAAGGCUAGAAUCUGGCAGAGGGGGGUAGAAUUCCACGUGUAGCAGUGAAAUGCGUAGAGAUGUGGAGGAACACCGAUGGCGAAGGCAGCCCCCUGGGUCAAGAUUGACGCUCAUGCACGAAAGCGUGGGGAGCAAACAGGAUUAGAUACCCUGGUAGUCCACGCCCUAAACGAUGUCUACUAGUUGUCGGGUUUUAAUUAACUUGGUAACGCAGCUAACGCGUGAAGUAGACCGCCUGGGGAGUACGGUCGCAAAGAUUAAAACNCAAAAGGAAUUGACGG